RNAcentral lists this non-coding RNA (28 nucleotides) under Bombyx mori (domestic silkworm). Lineage: Eukaryota; Metazoa; Arthropoda; Insecta; Lepidoptera; Bombycidae. The record is from RNAcentral.
GACAAGUACUGGACGCAGAUGAACUGGA